UGGGGAAUAUUGGGCAAUGGGCGCAAGCCUGACCCAGCAACGCCGCGUGAAGGAAGAAGGCUUUCGGGUUGUAAACUUCUUUUAACAGGGACGAAUGAAGUGACGGUACCUGUUGAAUAAGCCACGGCUAACUACGUGCCAGCAGCCGCGGUAAUACGUAGGUGGCAAGCGUUAUCCGGAUUUACUGGGUGUAAAGGGCGUGUAGGCGGGACUGCAAGUCAGGUGUGAAAACCACGGGCUCAACCUGUGGCCUGCAUUUGAAACUGUAGUUCUUGAGUGCUGGAGAGGCAAUCGGAAUUCCGUGUGUAGCGGUGAAAUGCGUAGAUAUACGGAGGAACACCAGUGGCGAAGGCGGAUUGCUGGACAGUAACUGACGCUGAGGCGCGAAAGCGUGGGGAGCAAACA
RNAcentral lists this ribosomal RNA (405 nucleotides) under uncultured bacterium. RNAcentral's name for it is "bacterial SSU rRNA". It matches the Rfam family "Bacterial small subunit ribosomal RNA", at positions 355 to 774 of the family's 1533-position model. The record is from RNAcentral.